UGGGAUAUGGCUCAAGUGGUAGAGCACCUGUCUGGCAAGCAUGAAGCCCUGAGUACAAAUCUCUGUACUCCAC
This 73-nucleotide transfer RNA is filed under the name Dipodomys ordii (Ord's kangaroo rat). It matches the Rfam family "tRNA". From Rfam's summary of the family: Transfer RNA (tRNA) molecules are approximately 80 nucleotides in length. The record is from Rfam by way of RNAcentral. Lineage: Eukaryota; Metazoa; Chordata; Mammalia; Rodentia; Heteromyidae.